UCUGGCCGAAAGGGCAACGAAAUUUGUUUCCUCUCGAUUGGUUUUUAUUAAGCCUGACCCUGCACCCGCGCAUUCUUACAUGAGUCUCACAAUUUAAUUUCCUGAUUUCUGAUUUUUCCAUGCACAGCAAGCUCAUCAGAGCAUGAUAUUAUGUAUCUGGCGAGGAUUCUGCCUUCGACGGUGAAGGACAUGGGACACACACAGCCUCAACUGUUGCCGGCAAUUCGGUGGAAGGGGCCAGCUUUUUCAGAAUAGCUAAUGGAACAGCUCGAGGGGGGGGGUACAGUCCUCCAGGAUCGCCAUUUACAAGGUAUGCAAUUCAUGGGGUUUGCGAAGGAGAUGGAAUUUUGGCAGCUUUCGAUGAUGCAGUCGCAGAUGGAGUGGAUAUCAUCACUCUUUCACUGGGCGAUGGGGCGCCUUCUUCUUUUAACAAAGAUCCUGUCGCGAUAGGAGCUUUCCAUGCGACAUCAAAGGGUAUCUUGGUGACUCAAUCUGCAGGAAAUUCUGGGCCCUCUGCGGAAAUAGUGAGCAUUGUCACCCCUUGGAUCCUGACUGUGGCGGCUAGGACCAGAUCGGCUGUUCAUCACCAAGCUUGUCCUGGGGAACGGGACGGUUAAGACUAUAUGUUUUCACUCUACAAACGUCUCACGACUUAGAUUUUUGUGAAAGGAAAUGCAACAUCGGAACAGCUUUCUGCAACAACGCAUCUGGGCGUAGCAAUAAAUUCAUUUCCAUCAGCUCCCAAUUAUUCUCCUCUCCUGUUCGGGAAGCAGGUUUCGAUCUCUUGUGGCGACACCUCUGCUAGAGCCUGCUAUGAGGGCUGUCUAGAAAUGCAGAAAGUGGCUGGGAAAAUCAUGAUCUACGAUAGGGGUGCUUGAUGGACUUUUCGAGGCUGCAGCAUUUGGUGCUCAGGAGACAAUCCUAAAGGGCGCAGAUCGUGACGAUGCUUCUGCUUAUCCACUUCCCUCUAUGGCCCUGAACGACUCCAGCUUUGAAAAACUCCUAUCCUACCACAAUUCCACAAGUGCCUGAAUUCAUGAACAUUUUCUCACGUCAUUUAAUCAUUUUUCCUUUUGUCAUAUAUAGACAAGAGUUAUUUCUCGAUGGUGUACUGCAGAGAUCCUCAAGCCCUUCGAGUUGGCCAUCAACAGGACUGUCACCAAUGUAGGGCCUCCGAACUCAACCUACAAGGCCAAAGUUGACAUCUCCCCAAACAUUAACAUCACUGUGGUCCCAGAGGUCAUUUCCUUCGGGUCCGUUUUCAAGAAGAGGUCUUUCACCAUUGGGAUUUCAGCGAGUGGUUUGCAAUAUGGCGCCCUGUUGUCUAAUGAGGCCGUUUGGUCCAAUGGCGUUCGCCAUGUGAGAAGUCUGGUCAUCGUGUAUACUGAACAAGAGAGUCCAGAAUAAUUGUCUGGUCAUCGUGUAUAUUGGUUAUGGACUUCAAGUUUCGAUUGUAUUUGAGACAGAACUAUACAAUUAAAUAGUGUACGUGCUUUCCCACUUUGCAUGGGCAGGGAUCUUGAUAUAAUCUAGCUAGAGAACCCUUUGCAGGGGCAUGAGGAAGAAUCUCAGGAUGACAGGGUCGAGCAUGAAGGCGAACUUUGGGAUAAACAUGUGCCAACUAAAACAAUUACAAGAGCACGAGCCAAGUGAAUCCAACAAGCCAUGCAAAGGCUGUUAUUGCAUGUCUAUGGAGGAGAAGUCAAGCUCUUGGGCGGGCUGCAUAUGGAACAAGAAGCCACGACCAUUCAUAUCCAAGAAAUCUAUUUAGAAAAUAAUCCAAUUCAAAGGGCUGAAUUUAGU
This is a non-coding RNA of Punica granatum (pomegranate), 1803 nucleotides long. The record is from RefSeq and is a predicted model, not a curated record. NCBI's taxonomy places the organism in Eukaryota, Viridiplantae, Streptophyta, Magnoliopsida, Myrtales, Lythraceae.